CUCUCGGCAACGGAUAUCUAGGCUCUCGCAUCGAUGAAGAACGUAGCGAAAUGCGAUACUUGGUGUGAAUUGCAGAAUCCCGCGAAUCAUCGAGUUUUUGAACGCAAGUUGCGCCCGAGGCCACUCGGCCGAGGGCACGUCUGCCUGGGCGUCACGCACCGUCGCC
Molecule: ribosomal RNA, 166 nt
Filed under: Lithocarpus pachylepis
Lineage: Eukaryota; Viridiplantae; Streptophyta; Magnoliopsida; Fagales; Fagaceae
Description: 5.8S ribosomal RNA
Rfam family: 5.8S ribosomal RNA
About the family: 5.8S ribosomal RNA (5.8S rRNA) is a component of the large subunit of the eukaryotic ribosome. It is transcribed by RNA polymerase I as part of the 45S precursor that also contains 18S and 28S rRNA. Functionally, it is thought that 5.8S rRNA may be involved in ribosome translocation.
Source: RNAcentral